GUGUCAGCCGCCGCGGUAAUACGGAGGAUCCAAGCGUUAUCCGGAUUUAUUGGGUUUAAAGGGUGCGUAGGUGGGAUGAUAAGUCAGAGGUGAAAGCUAGCAGCUUAACUGUUAAAUUGCCUUUGAUACUGUUAUUCUUGAGUAUAGUUGGCGUUGGCGGAAUGUGACAUGUAGCGGUGAAAUGCGUAGAUAUGUCACAGAACACCGAUCGCGAAGGCAGCUAACGAAACUAUCACUGACACUGAUGCACGAAAGCGUGGGGAGCAAACAGGAUUAGAUACCCGUGUAGUCC
RNAcentral lists this ribosomal RNA (292 nucleotides) under uncultured bacterium. RNAcentral describes it as "partial 16S ribosomal RNA". It matches the Rfam family "Bacterial small subunit ribosomal RNA", at positions 505 to 796 of the family's 1533-position model. The record is from RNAcentral.